AUGAUGUCCAACCAUGAUACGAUGAAGGAAUUGCCAGAUUGGAGAGUAGACCACAGCAUGUGGUACUGUCUACCAUUCCAAGGAGGGGUCAGGGGCAACCAUGCCCUCCAGGGAGCUGCUGGCCAUCAUUCAUCAUAAAACCAAUUUAAAAACCACUGUGGACUGCUCCCAAAGGCCAUCCAGUUGAAAUAAGCACAGAAAUGUUAUGGGCCCAUCUCCAGUAGCUAGCUGGAAGAAAUAGCUUUUUCAAGGUCUUUAGUACAUAAUCAUAUUCACCCAGAAGAAAAAUACAAGCAUGACCUAUGGCAAACCCAAUCCUUAAGUUUUGCUCAGGUAAACCAUUUAAUAAAGAAAGAGAGAGAAUAAGCCUUAACUUUAAUUCAGUCAUUUAAUGAUUAAAUGUAUCUCCUUCUAAAUAUGGGCUCUUUCUCUCC
Molecule: long non-coding RNA, 434 nt
Filed under: Mustela putorius furo (domestic ferret)
Lineage: Eukaryota; Metazoa; Chordata; Mammalia; Carnivora; Mustelidae
Description: lncRNA (ENSMPUG00000031142.1)
Source: RNAcentral